GAGGUUAAAUACGAUGAACCUAAAUAUCCAGUAUGAGAAAGUCAUUAUUAUGAGUAUAUUAUUUUAUAAUGUAUUAAUAGUGUGCAUUUUUUUCAUAAAAAGGACAUUGUAAUCUGUUAAUACAAUUUAUAUAUUCUUUUAUAUAUUAUUUUUAUCAUAAAGAGUCAUGUAUAAGUUUACAUAUAAAUUAAUUAAUUUAUUAAUUAAUUGAUGUAAGAUCGAUGAAUUUCUAGAUAAAUAGUUAACAGUAUUAAAAUAUAUAAUGCUUACAUAAUUUUUUAUGUUUUAUAUAUAAUAUGUACAUGUACGAUAUAUAUGUUUUUGCAUUUAGAUUAUAACAAUGAUA
Molecule: ribosomal RNA, 346 nt
Filed under: Dittopternis venusta
Lineage: Eukaryota; Metazoa; Arthropoda; Insecta; Orthoptera; Acrididae
Description: partial 28S ribosomal RNA
Source: RNAcentral